This 465-nucleotide ribosomal RNA is filed under the name Vreelandella stevensii. RNAcentral describes it as "partial 16S ribosomal RNA". It matches the Rfam family "Bacterial small subunit ribosomal RNA", at positions 338 to 795 of the family's 1533-position model. The record is from RNAcentral. Lineage: Bacteria; Pseudomonadati; Pseudomonadota; Gammaproteobacteria; Oceanospirillales; Halomonadaceae.
CCUACGGGAGGCAGCAGUGGGGAAUAUUGGACAAUGGGGGCAACCCUGAUCCAGCCAUGCCGCGUGUGUGAAGAAGGCCCUCGGGUUGUAAAGCACUUUCAGUGAGGAAGAACGCCUGGUGGUUAAUACCCAUCAGGAAAGACAUCACUCACAGAAGAAGCACCGGCUAACUCCGUGCCAGCAGCCGCGGUAAUACGGAGGGUGCGAGCGUUAAUCGGAAUUACUGGGCGUAAAGCGCGCGUAGGUGGCUUGAUAAGCCGGUUGUGAAAGCCCCGGGCUCAACCUGGGAACGACAUCCGGAACUGUCAAGCUAGAGUGCAGGAGAGGAAGGUAGAAUUCCCGGUGUAGCGGUGAAAAGCGUAGAGAUCGGGAGGAAUACCAGUGGCGAAGGCGGCCUUCUGGACUGACACUGACACUGAGGUGCGAAAGCGUGGGUAGCAAACAGGAUUAGAUACCCCAGUAGUC